UCUCUUCUAAAAUCAAUGGUCAAGAUCAAAUCCAUCUCUUUCCUAUUUUAUCCAUUAAGAACCCAAGCCCUAAAACAUUUGUCACUUCUUCCAACCUCCAAAGUGCCUCAUCCCUUUCUCUCUUCUCCGUCUUUCUCCUCCGGCCAGCGCAGCCAGUCGACCCCUCUCGCCUCUCCAUUCUUUCCGCUAUAACAACAUAAACAACAGUAGCCGGCGAGGAGGACAACCUCCGACCGGCGAAAGCUCCAGCGAGCAGCAGCCGCUAGACGCCGAUACGUCUCCCCCAGGCGAGAUCGACGGAGCAGCAGGCUCCACUGGCGAGCAACAGCAACCAGCAACGACAGCAAGCUACCUGCGAGGAACACCAGCAGCUAUCAGCUCCAGCGAAAUCUUCUCCGUCUCCAACAACUCCGGCCAACAGCUCAACGAAUCGAGCACCAACAAGUUCCGAAUAAAGGUUCCGGUCAGGCAGCGGAUUCCGGGGAAACCUUGAAGAUCGCGAGUUUGUUAGAGAUGGAUUUUAACAGAUCCGGCAUGUCUCUCGAUAUGGUAAGAUUUGCUAUAGUUUGGUUCCUUUAUUUUGCUUUUUUAUUCUAAUUGGCCGCCCUAAUUGAUUUUCCCAUUCCUUAAAAUAAUUAUUUAUUUCCUUGUGACUAAUUGUGUAUAUCUGCCAUCAACUUUUUCGUAAUUAUAGUAAGUCGAUUUCUUACUUUAUUUAUACUUGGUAAAUAAAUAAAUUAAAAUUCGAUUUGGCUCUCUUUUGAAAUAAGGAAAAUGUUAUAUUAAUUGAUUCCUUAAAUUAUUCCUUCCUUAUAUUAUAUGCCCUCUUCUCCACUAUAUAAACAACCAUCCGCUCAUAUUAUAGAGACGGAUGGAUACACAUUCUAAUUGCUAAAAAAAAGAAUAAACACUCUCUACCCUUGAAAAGAAAAAUAAGAACUCUAGUAGAGCUUUGGAUCAUUCUUUGUGGCAUUGUUGUGUUGUUGUUUCGGUGGAGAUCUCUUUAAAACACUCCAUUGCUGAUAAUUAUUUCUGCUUGAUUGGUUAGUUGUUUCUCUAUUAGUUUAAUUUCCGUUUUGCAUUGUUUCAAUUGUUGUUGUAUGUUUGAAAGAAUAAUGGGAAGCGUCUGGGUCAGUUUUCUUAUCCUUCCUUGCUUUGUGUGAUUAUAUAUUCUCCACAACUUGUUUAAUUCUUACAUGCUUGUAUGCUACUUGUGUACAUGAAAUAAUUAAAUCUGCAUACCAUAUAAUUAGUUUUAUCAUCUUGCUAUCGUCUUUUAUGUGUUAUGACUUGCCCGUAUUCAUUGUACUUUAACAGGGUUUUGAACUUAAAGGUUCAAGAGUCUCCUCGAAGAGAUUUCCAGACGAGACUCUUAUGUUCAAGUUUAUCUUAAUGUUGUAUAUAUUAUUUAUUUAUUCUUUGAACUUGUGAUAUUUUGUAUUGCUCUAACUCUAAACUCUCCUAUAUAUAUGAUAUAACUUGGGGAUUGUCUAAGGGGAGGGGUGUAUGUGCUAACUGUUUUCUUACUUUAUUUACGUACUUAUGUGUGAAUGUGUUUUGAUUAAAUAAUUAUUUGAACAUGGCUACUUAAAAUAAUCAGCAUGCUUCUAAAUCUAAUUAGAAUAAAAAAAAAAGGUUUUGUCGAUAUUAUUAUGUUAUCUAAAUUAUGAGCAUUAGUUAUGUUGGCCGCCUGUUUUAAUGUUAAUACUAAAAUAAAUCAAUAAGUCUUUGUAACAUCAUUUUAGAUGUAACUAAAUUAAUUAAUUUUUACAUGUCUCCCUGCUUUACUUGUUUUGAUAACCCAUUUUUUAUGUAUGAAAAAAAUUUAAUAAAACAAAGCUUUGCGUAAGUCAUUUGUUUGUGUUGAGUGAAAUAAAGGUAGAAAGCAUGCCUAUAGGACUCGAACUAAUAAAUUUUGUGUUAGUAAUCAAUGAAUAAUACCUGCAUGUCUAACGAAAUACUCGUAACUGUUCGUAAAAUUAGUUUGUCAUUAGAAAUCAUUCUCAUAAGACUUAAUUAAUAAAAUUGAUGAUUAUUAAUUAGUUUAAUAAAUUUCAGCAUGUUCUAAUAAUUCAACCCUGUUAAUUAAUGAAGUUUUAACCAACUUUAAGUUGCUAAUAAGUUUGCAGAAUGUCAACUCACUUAGAAGUCAUGCCUAUAGGACUAAAUAAAAUAAAAAGAAAACAUGAAAUAAUUUUUAGCAUAUCAAUGACUGAAAUAAAAUUUGUUAUACAUAUUUUUCUGCCACUUUAAAUAAAUAAAUCAGCUAAUAUUUCUGCAGCUAAUAAUCGGUUUGCCACUUAAAGUAAUUUCUGCAUUAGUAAACUAAUCUCCUACUACUAUUAAAAAGUAUUUCUGCAUGCUAUAGUAUUUUCUACCACCCUACAAUAAUUAAUUAAUAUAAACUUUUUGCAUGCUGUAAUAUUUUCAGUCACCUUCUAAAAUUAGAUAAUAGAAUAGUUUUCUGCAUUAAUAAUAAAAUUUGCUACUGUCCUAAGGUAUUUUCUGCAUGUGAUCACUUUUUCUGACAGUUACUGAUUAAUUUCUGCAAUAAUAAUUAAAUCUGCUAUUGUUUUCAAAUAUUUUUGUAUGUGUGCCCACUUUUCUACUAUAUUUUAAAAUCAAAUAAAUAAAAAUUUGUUAUGUCAUUAAUUUCUGUCCUUUUAAAAUCAGUUGAACACUAAAAUCUGCAUUUUGUAAUAAUUUUCUGUCACUCUUAAUUAAGUAACCGUGAUGUUGUAUUGAUUGUUAUAAUUUUGUAUGCCACACACUUGGCAUGUGACCUUUACACUCUAUUUGUGUUUGUCAGCGUGUUCAAUUAAAAUCUAGAGGCAAAUAUGAGAUUUACGUGCUAAAUGUUCGUCCUAUUUGUUUGACUUGGUGUCUAUGUGGGCCUAAUUAGGAGCCUUUAUUUUAUUUUUUAGUCUAAAACCUCCAACAAUAGUCCAAUGCCUCUUGGACCUUAAGCAGGGACGAUAGACACCUUUUAGGAUGUUAUGCAUGUGGAAGGUGGGGUAGGGGUAGUUUAGGCCCUACAGAUAUGAUGACAUCAACUCAGGCUUAAAACGACAAACCUUGGUUUUGUCUGUCCCUACACGGAAAGCCUAUCGAAAAAAAAGUCCGAGUGUUGAUUCGUAAAAACCUUCAGAGUCUCCCUUUCCUUUUGUUCCUUUAUUUGUUUAUAAUUAUAAUUGUUUGGGGUAGUUUAAAUAAAAUAUAAGAAUUGUUUGUUUCUCUACUUGUGCAAUUUAUGUCCCCUCGCUAUCUCUUUAUUAAUUGUUUAAUAAUUAUUUGUUAUUAUAUUAUCACUUAGUCUUGCAUGCUUAACUAAUUAAUUAAAAUAAUUAAAGUGCCCUUAAUUGCUUAAUAUUAUGUUAUCACCUAGUUUUGCAUGCUCAAUUGAUUAAGUAAAUAAAUGAAGUGAUUUUGAUUGUCUAAUGUUAGUUAUCAUCUAGUAAGCAUGCUAAUUAAAUAAAUAAUAAUUAAGUGACCUUAAAUGUUACUUGUAACCCCUACAUAAAUUACAUGAGAUACGACUGGGACUCACAUUUGUGGACCUCGAGGGAUGCCUAACAUCUUCCCCUCGAGGUAAUUUGAACCCUUACUCGAUCUCUAGUUCGUUGACCUUAGUUAGGUUUAGCUAGGUUAGAUAGGUGCCCUAACGCACCUUAAUUCGUUAGGUAGUGACUCUUCAAAUCAACCCAAAGCCCAAAAGAGUUAUUAGGUUGAAAGUUCGUUUUUGCAGAAAAAUUGGGCACGACAAUAAGUUUCCAGUAUGUUUUCAUUCUUAGCUGGUUAACAGUGAAAUCUUAUAUAUAAAAAAAUAAUUGAAAAGGAACUUGGUCGGUAAAAGUAUUGUAAUCAACAAAGGGAAUUUUGGCUGCUAAAAGUACAUAUAACGAAAAUGGACAAAUAUACUCCCGAACUAUCAUAAAUGAUAUGUCAAUACCCUCCGUUAUACUUUAAGGUUGUAUAUACCCUUACCGUCAAUAUUUUGGAUAAUCUAUACUCUUAAGACUAAUAGAAACAUG
RNAcentral lists this long non-coding RNA (4031 nucleotides) under Solanum tuberosum (potato). Its description in RNAcentral is "long non-coding RNA (STUB_LNC006444)". Lineage: Eukaryota; Viridiplantae; Streptophyta; Magnoliopsida; Solanales; Solanaceae. The record is from RNAcentral.